UCAGCUAAGUUACUUCCUCAUCUGAACCGUCCGUUGCAGCGAGGAGCCUUUCUUUCUCCGCUUUGAAAACCUUUCACAUGAUUAAUGUGUUUCAUACACACUUUAACCUCAGUUUCUUCCCUUACAAUUAUACUUUUAUAACUUUUUACUGUAUGGGACGGAACGUAUUUUCUCCAGUCUACUAUGGAUGAGGUGAGAGAGGAGGGGGGUCCUACCUCUAAGACCACUCUGUCUGGGGAACAUGGCCGUCGGAGCAAAGCUAAGAGCCCAGAGAAGCAGGAGAGAGCAGACUCCCCUGGACCCAGCUGUGCCUCCAUGAAGAGUGGCUGGUCUAUGGAUCAUCCUCGUGUGCUAUUUCAAGAUGGAAAUCAGUUUAUUGAGAAGAGGUGAAGAUUUAUCAGAGAUUAUUAAAAUACAGCAUCUAUCGAACGUCCAUAAAUCCUGGUUCUGGUUUUUCUAGAAGAGUCCAGAAGCAGAGAGCAGACUCCCCUGGACCCAGCUGUGUCUCCAUGAAGAGUGACCGCUCUAUGGAACAACCUGUUAACUUUAAAUAUGGAAAUCAGUCCAUUGAGAAAAGUUAAGCAUUGAUUAGAGAUGAUGAUUCGGGCUGUAGUCUUAAAUUCAACCAACUCUGACCAAUUGAUCGGUCGACGGUGAAAAGAUGAUUAUAAAACAUUGUGCACGUUAUCUCUGGAUCAACAUAAUCUACCACAGUGCGUUGUACUCUGCCUGCUAGCCUCAAUAUCACAUAAGGGCUGUUUGGAGAAGGGCACUGGGUUUCAGACCCCCUCUCGGUCCAAGUCGACUCGGUUAGAGCAGAGCUUCAAUAUGAAGCAGACAGCGGACGAGCCACGGAGCGUCGGGCAGCGUCGUUUAUAGACGACACCACCGAAGAAUUGAUUAUAUCUUUUAUCUGUGUGUAAUAUAACGGGGCCCACUGGAUGCUGCUGGGAUUCGUGCCAAGAAGCCAAUUCUGAUGUGUUCCCACCAGUGUUGUUUUCGUCAGGCAAGACGAAAACGAAAAUGACGUCGUCAGACCCCUUUUUUCCAUGACGAAAAUGAGACUAAGACGAACGUCACCAUUUCGUCAAAAAGACUAAGACUAAAACUAAAUCUAAAAUGCCUGCCAAAAACAACACUGGUUCCCACUCAAAGGGAGAUGAAGAAUAACAGACAUAUUAA
Molecule: long non-coding RNA, 1182 nt
Organism: Gadus morhua (Atlantic cod)
Lineage: Eukaryota; Metazoa; Chordata; Actinopteri; Gadiformes; Gadidae
Exons: 2
Source: RefSeq, a predicted model, not a curated record